Molecule: long non-coding RNA, 573 nt
Organism: Olea europaea var. sylvestris
Lineage: Eukaryota; Viridiplantae; Streptophyta; Magnoliopsida; Lamiales; Oleaceae
Exons: 2
Source: RefSeq, a predicted model, not a curated record
CCGUUAUCUGGAGCUCCGCAAUCCUAGUGGUCCCGAAUUGCUUCUCGUUCUGGGUCCAGAAAACCAUUAAAUAAACGGAUGAAUGACUUGCCGAAGAAAUACCCAAUAUCCGACCCGGAAAACAAGUCUCCUUGAGGAGGGAGGCUCAAGUGCAGGGCUAUUUGCACCACUCUGAAUGAGAAAGUGGAGCAUAACGGGUAGCUUAUCACAUGGGGGCAUCCAAAUGGGACACACAGGCCACAUGCUAAGAAAUAUCCAUAAGAGAAAGCAUAUAAACUGAGUAUCCUUUGGCAGUGGGCUCUGAUGGACGAGGCUGAAAAUACAAUGCAAGGUGGCUAGGGUGCAUCACCAUUUAGCCUCAUAACUCCAAAGCCCCAUCUGUUUCAUGGUUGGGUUUUAUGUGAAAAUGACUGUUCUAUGUAUAUUAAUUCUUUGAUAUAGUUAGGGUUAUUUCUUCUUAGGUCACUAUUAAAAAGUGUGAGAAAAGAUGGUCGUUAUAUAUAAAUUGUAAAAUGAUUGAAAAGAGAAUGCGCAAAUGAUUAUAAUUAAGCAGGACUAUCAUUUUGAUGUAAA